GUGACACUCAGCAGUUAGUAGCAGCAGGGAGGGGGUGCGAUGCCCCCCCGGUGGGAAGUCGGCCUCUGGAAUGUAGUGAUGGGGGGGAAGUGCAGGGCGGCGGGGGCAGGCCGUCCGCCAGGGGUCUGCCCUUGGGGUCAGGGAAGGGGCUGAGCGGUAAAGGGGCUGAGCAGCACCCUGGGCGGGCAGAGAAUUGGUCCCAGCCCCCCUCGCAGGCCGGAGGGGGUCUCUGGUCACUGCCGGGGGGUGCCCAGAGCAGGGGGGAUGGAGCGGGCACGCCCCAGGCAGGGAGAGGUCCCAGCCCCCCUCGCAGGCCGGAGGGGGUCUCUGGUCACCGCCGGGGGGUGCUCAGAGCCGGGGGGGAGAUGAAGCGGGCACGCCCCAGGCAGGGAGAGGUCCCAGCCCCCCUCGCAGGCCGGAGGGGGUCUCUGGUCACUGCCGGGGGGUGCCCAGAGCGGGGGGGGAGAUGAAGCGGGCACGCCCCAGGCAGGGAGAGGUCCCAGCCCCCCUCGCAGGCCGGAGGGGGUCUCUGGUCACCGCCGGGGGGUGCCCAGAGCAGGGGGGAUGAAGCGGGCACGCCCCAGGCAGGGAGAGGUCCCAGCCCCCCUCGCAGGCCGGAGGGGGUCUCUGGUCACCGCCGGGGGGUGCCCAGAGCGGGGGGGAGAUGAAGCGGGCACGCCCCGGGCAGGGAGAGGUCCCAGCCCCACGAGCGUCUAGGUCCACACCUCCACGGGGAUCAUGCCCUCCUUGCUGUUGAGGGGGGGCAGGAGGGACUCCUCGGCC
Long non-coding RNA from Gopherus flavomarginatus (Mexican gopher tortoise), 783 nucleotides. RefSeq lists it as uncharacterized. The record is from RefSeq and is a predicted model, not a curated record. The transcript is spliced from 6 exons. NCBI's taxonomy places the organism in Eukaryota, Metazoa, Chordata, Testudines, Testudinidae.